This 207-nucleotide long non-coding RNA is filed under the name Hordeum vulgare. RNAcentral's name for it is "long non-coding RNA (HVUL_LNC003822)". Lineage: Eukaryota; Viridiplantae; Streptophyta; Magnoliopsida; Poales; Poaceae. The record is from RNAcentral.
UAACACAUAGUAGGUGACUACAACUUGCAAGAUAGGAUCUAAAACACACAUAUAUUGGCGACAACAUAAUAGGUUCAGAUCUGAAAUCAUGGCACUUGGGCCCUAGUGACAAGCAUUAAGCAUAGCCAAGUAGUAGCAACAUCAACCUAGAACAUAGUGGAUACUAGGGAUCAAUCCCCGUCAAGAACUAACUCGAUUACAUGAUAG